This 57-nucleotide transfer RNA is filed under the name Hyalella franciscae. RNAcentral's name for it is "tRNA-Cys". Lineage: Eukaryota; Metazoa; Arthropoda; Malacostraca; Amphipoda; Hyalellidae. The record is from RNAcentral.
AAUUAGAUGGUGUAAAAACACAUUAAGCUGCAAACUUAAAGAAGUUAUCUCUAAUUA